This 371-nucleotide ribosomal RNA is filed under the name Acinetobacter baumannii. RNAcentral's name for it is "bacterial SSU rRNA". It matches the Rfam family "Bacterial small subunit ribosomal RNA", at positions 1 to 375 of the family's 1533-position model. The record is from RNAcentral. Lineage: Bacteria; Pseudomonadati; Pseudomonadota; Gammaproteobacteria; Moraxellales; Moraxellaceae.
AACUGAAGAGUUUGAUCAUGGCUCAGAUUGAACGCUGGCGGCAGGCUUAACACAUGCAAGUCGAGCGGGGGAAGGUAGCUUGCUACUGGACCUAGCGGCGGACGGGUGAGUAAUGCUUAGGAAUCUGCCUAUUAGUGGGGGACAACAUCUCGAAAGGGAUGCUAAUACCGCAUACGUCCUACGGGAGAAAGCAGGGGAUCUUCGGACCUUGCGCUAAUAGAUGAGCCUAAGUCGGAUUAGCUAGUUGGUGGGGUAAAGGCCUACCAAGGCGACGAUCUGUAGCGGGUCUGAGAGGAUGAUCCGCCACACUGGGACUGAGACACGGCCCAGACUCCUACGGGAGGCAGCAGUGGGGAAUAUUGGACAAUGGG